RNAcentral lists this unclassified non-coding RNA (152 nucleotides) under uncultured Leptosphaeriaceae. Its description in RNAcentral is "sequence contains ITS2". The record is from RNAcentral. Lineage: Eukaryota; Fungi; Ascomycota; Dothideomycetes; Pleosporales; Leptosphaeriaceae.
GUAUCUUAAGCUUUGCUUAGUGUUGGGUGAUUGUCUGUAUGUAUUGCAGACUCGCCUUGAAUCUAUUGGCCGCCGAUAGUCUAGUAUGCGAGCGCAGCACAUUUGCGCACCGUACCCGUCUUAUUAGCCACCAUCAAGUACAAUAUCAACGU